This 722-nucleotide ribosomal RNA is filed under the name Streptomyces sp. DOSMB-SP11. RNAcentral describes it as "bacterial SSU rRNA". It matches the Rfam family "Bacterial small subunit ribosomal RNA", at positions 62 to 798 of the family's 1533-position model. The record is from RNAcentral. Lineage: Bacteria; Bacillati; Actinomycetota; Actinomycetes; Kitasatosporales; Streptomycetaceae.
UCGAACCAUGGUCGAUUCUGCGUGGGGAUUAGUGGGCGAACGGGUGAGUAACACGUGGGCAAUCUGCCCUGCACUCUGGGACAAGCCCUGGAAACGGGGUCUAAUACCGGAUACUGAUCCUCGCAGGCAUCUGCGAGGGUCUAAAUUUCCGACCGUGCCGAUGAGCCCGCGGCCUAUCAGCUAGUUGGUGAGGUAACGGCUCACCAAGGCGACGACGGGUAGCCGGCCUGAGAGGGCGACCGGCCACACUGGGACUGAUACACGGCCCAAACUCCUACGGGAGGCAGCAGUGGGGAAUAUUGCACAAUGGGCGAAAGCCUGAUGCAGCGACGCCGCGUGAGGGAUGACGGCCUUCGGGUUGUAAACCUCUUUCAGCAGGGAAGAAGCGAAAGUGACCGUACCUGCAGAAGAACCGUCCGCUAACUGCAUGCCACCACCCGCGGUAAUACUUAGGGCGCAAGCGUUGUCCGGAAUUAUUGGGCGUAAAAAGCUCGUAGGCGGCUUGUCACGUCGGUUGUGAAAGCCCGGGGCUUAACCCCCGCCCUGCAAUCCAUACGAGUUUGCUACAGUUCGCCAUGGUACAUCGGAAUUGCAGUUGUAGCGUUGAAUUCCGCACAUAUCACGAGGAACGUUGCUCACACAUGCUGAUCUCUGGGCCGAUACUGACGCUCAGGAGUGUAAGCUUGUGGUAGCUACCCGGAUUAGAUACUCUGGUAGUCCAC